This is a long non-coding RNA of Bos taurus (domestic cattle), 3002 nucleotides long. NCBI's taxonomy places the organism in Eukaryota, Metazoa, Chordata, Mammalia, Artiodactyla, Bovidae. The record is from Ensembl.
ACCCCCAGCCUCCCCCUGGCCCACCUGGGCCCUUACCCCUGCCCGUGCUGGGAGCUGGGAAACAAAGUAACUUACAUAUACCACUCUCCUACUCUCACCCCCCAUGGCUCCCCAGUACCCUCUGCACAAAACUAAAGUGCAUCACCCCCCUCCUAUGGCAUAGGAAGGUCUGGAAUAGGGGUGGCCUGCAGCCCACCUUGGGGUCAGGGGAAGCUGCCCGCCUGCUGCAGAACGCUCAGCCUGCUCAGGAUCCCUCAGGCUCCAGGUCAGCUGCAAGGCCACUUCCUCAGAGAAGUCCACCUGUCUGCCCUGACACUGAGUCCUUGCCUGGGGAUGGGAAGCGGGUCCUGAGGACCUGACCCAAAAGGAUUCUCGAAUGCCCCUGCACGCUGGAGGAAGGCAGCCUCAACCUCCCCGGACACCAGCAUCCGCAGGAGGCAGCCAAGUCAGGAGUCGGGGGUCAAGCCCUGGCCACCGGGGGAGGGCCAGAGAAGAAGGCAGCUUGCCCAUGGACUCACACCUGGGGAGGAGGAACUGAGAUGAGAAGCCAGGCCAUAGAGCUUGACGGCCAAAGCUUUCAUCACUGUUUCUGCAGCCUUUGUCUACGUGGGGAAAACCGUCUUGAGUGGGAGCAAUGGAGGGAUCUAGAUCAGAGGAGGGCAGUCCAAUCAGAAAGCCCCUCCCUCACUCCAGGCCAGGGUCUGCGGGGGCCUUCCCAGAGGGGACACCAGGGCCCUGUACCUUCUUAGCCAUCCCUCAGCCCGGAGGGGUGCACUGACCCACAGAGUCACUUGAGAGUUGGGACACCCAGCAUGGCUGUGAGCCGUCCUCCAAGACUCCCAGCCUUUCUAGACCUUCCCGUUUUCAGGCUCAAAAAGGGUAGCUGCUGGCCUCUGGUCACCAGCCGGGACGUGGCAGGGCCUUGGGGCUGCUGACAGCUCUGCCGGCCCUCAGUUUCUUCUGCAGGCCUCUGCAGGGUGGUGACCGGACACGUGGCCAAGGGGACUAAUGUGUUCUCCAAAGCCCCUAUGACCCUGACCCGGAAGCCCCCCCUGGCGCCUAGGGCGAGGGUCACACCCGGGCCCAUCUCUCAGGGCCCCUCCCCGUGAGGGCCUCAACCCUGGGAUUAGGGGGCCGGGGUCAGGGGUCAACAGCAUUUGCCUCGGCUCCUUUCAGGCCUCCAGCAGAUCCGUUCUCCCUGCCACCUCAAAUUUCCUGGACAAAGGCUCCGUGGUGGGACCGGGCGGAGGGCCGGGCCAAGCACCCCUGGGAAAACUGCAGCAGCUCAGGGAAGGUGUCUGCCCCCGCCCCCGGCUUCUGCCCACACGGCCCCAUCAAUCCUUAGAUUACCCGCGGGCAGCCAUGGCGGACACACCCAUGCUACAGAUGGAGAAACUGAGGCUGGGGAGGGGCUCAGCCAGGGCUCCAGGCCAGAAGCUGCUCUGCCAAAGGCCCAGUGGAAUUUUGUGCCGGCCACAGCUGAGCACCAGGCUGGAGGCUGUGCUGUGCAGUGCUGGAGGCGGUGUCUGUGAAGGCAGGCAGGCAGGGCUGGCGGCGGACAAAGGCAGGCAGGCCUGGCCCGCAGGGGCGCGUUCCGCUCGUCAGCGUCGGUUCCACUUGAGUCCAUCCUGGACAGGCCGGAAUAAUCCCUCCCGCGACCACUGCUGGGCCGUGACGACUUGAAGGGGCCCCGCGGGCCUGACUGACGGCCAGGCCGAUGGGGGGGGCACCUGGGGCCCCCCCCACACCCCCUAGUGCUGGGAACAGCCUCAAGCCUUCGUUGAUGACAACUUGGGGAAACUGAGUCACGGGAGCACACACGACCUCUUAUAUCACACAUCGAGGGCUGGCAGCCCAUCGAGGCCCAGACCCCAGGCCAGCCUCACCAAGGCCUCCCCAUCCCCGCUGGCUACACAGCCUCGCCAGUGACCUGGGGGAAUUUUGGGGCCUGAACCAGCUGAGUCAUGGGAACUACGGGCCUCCUGUUCAUUUCCCAGCACCUGGGAGGCAGGUACACACAGGUGGCUGGACCAAAGCCAGGCCAGGGGCCCAGGGAAGGCCCCACUGGCUGCUGCCAAGGCUGGUAGACACGGCUAGCUGCCAUGUGCUCAGGCCGCUCGGCGGGGCGCGCCUCCUCCUCCUCCGCUCGCACCUGGGUGCCUGGAAGGGAUUCCGUAGGAAGGGAUCAAUGACCUCAGGAGGAGAGGAGGAAGCAGCUGGGCCAAGAAUAAUUAGCAGACUCAUGGAGCAUGAAGAAGGAGAGACGAGAUUCUUGUCUGCUGGGCUCCUCCCACGCCAACCUCAGCCCUUCCUGGGCUCCAGCCUUCACUGCCUCCACCUGCGGCAACUUCUUCAUGGAUUCAUCCUUCGUCCAGUGGACAUUUAUCUCCCACCAGAUCCCAAGCUGCCCAGGUGGCGCUAGUGGUAAAAAAACCCACCUGCCAGUGCAUGAGCCACAAGAGAUGCAGGCAGAAUCUUUACCUUCACUCCGGGUCUAUCUGGGCCUCAGACCCUUGCUGAACACAGGCCUUCCCUGAGGAACCAGCGCCAGAGAAGGAGGCCAGCACCGCCAGCCUUGCUGGUAAGCAGAAGCACUCAAGUUGGAGUCCAUGCACCAAACACAUUCACUUAAGGAGGACUCCCAACGCCGGUCCUGCCGCCGCGCCCCGCCCGCUCAGGCGCCCUAGCAGAGCCGCUGCGGAGGGUUCUGCCCAUAAUAAAGACUCCGGACCCGCCUGAGCCGCUGGCUGCCUCCCUCCUUAUCCACCCCUCGCUGACGGCCAGGUCCCAGCUGUGGAGCCCCCUCCUCCGGCCUCGGCGUCUCAUCUGUAAAAUGGGUCUCAGCUGGGUCUCUUCUACUAGUAGGGAGGUCAACUGAGGCCCAGCGGGGAGUGGGGGGGUCCCAGUGGAGAGAGAGGCUGAAUGGGGGGCUGGGACCCAGGCCUUGCACCACUUCGCACACCUGGGUAAACUGAGUCCUGGGGAAGCCGACUACUCGACCA